AUUGAACGCUGGCGGCAUGCCUUACACAUGCAAGUCGAACGGCAGCAUGGGAGCUUGCUCCUGAUGGCGAGUGGCGAACGGGUGAGUAAUGUAUCGGAACAUGCCCUGAAGUGGGGGAUAACGUAGCGAAAGUUACGCUAAUACCGCAUAUUCUGUGAGCAGGAAAGCAGGGGAUCGCAAGACCUUGCGCUUUAGGAGUGGCCGAUAUCGGAUUAGCUAGUUGGUGAGGUAAAGGCCCACCAAGGCAACGAUCCGUAGCGGGUCUGAGAGGAUGAUCCGCCACACUGGGACUGAGACACGGCCCAGACUCCUACGGGAGGCAGCAGUGGGGAAUUUUGGACAAUGGGCGCAAGCCUGAUCCAGCCAUGCCGCGUGAGUGAAGAAG
Molecule: ribosomal RNA, 385 nt
Filed under: uncultured bacterium
Lineage: Bacteria
Description: bacterial SSU rRNA
Rfam family: Bacterial small subunit ribosomal RNA
Source: RNAcentral